RNAcentral lists this unclassified non-coding RNA (415 nucleotides) under fungal sp. Its description in RNAcentral is "partial internal transcribed spacer region". The stretch from base 1 to 46 matches the Rfam family "Eukaryotic small subunit ribosomal RNA", at positions 1786 to 1831 of the family's 1831-position model. The record is from RNAcentral. Lineage: Eukaryota; Fungi.
AAGUCGUAACAAGGUUUCCGUAGGUGAACCUGCGGAAGGAUCAUUAACACGUAUCCACGUAUCAACACGAACCACCACGAACCGGUCUCCCCGAGACAACCUACCUCUAAGCUGCGCUGUCGUGUUUAUAAUGGGUCGCACUGUUCUGUCAAAAGUUCGGUGUUGGCAUAACACUUCAGAGCUGUCGCUCCCUUUUACCGGGAGAGUGAAAGCGAAGUAAUUGGAUUGUCGGGCUUUACCAUUUUCAAUCCGCUUCAAGGUACCCAUUCUUCCCUUGGCGGGGCGAUACCCAUACCCUUUUCACCCUAUUUUACCUAAUUGGCUAAUUUCUAUAUUCGCGGAGAGAAAUCUCUGUUGAAUCUCUAAGAUUUAUCUUAACUAAGCACAACUCUUAGCAAUGGAUAUCUUGGUUCUC